GAAUAUUGGUCAAUGGACGAAAGUCUGAACCAGCCAUGCCGCGUGCAGGAUGAAGGCUCUAUGGGUUGUAAACUGCUUUUUUAUGGGAAGAAAUCCCUGAACGUGUUCGGGGCUGACGGUACCAUAAGAAUAAGCACCGGCUAACUCCGUGCCAGCAGCCGCGGUAAUACGGAGGGUGCAAGCGUUAUCCGGAUUCAUUGGGUUUAAAGGGUGCGUAGGCGGAUUAAUAAGUCAGUGGUGAAAUCCUGCAGCUUGACUGUAGAAGUGCCAUUGAUACUGUUAGUCUUGAGUUUGGUUGAGGUAAGCGGAAUGUGGCAUGUAGCGGUGAAAUGCAUAGAUAUGCCACAGAACACCGAUUGCGAAGGCAGCUUGCUAAGCCAAUACUGACGCUGAGGCACGAAAGCGUGGGGAGCAAACAGG
This 420-nucleotide ribosomal RNA is filed under the name uncultured bacterium. Its description in RNAcentral is "bacterial SSU rRNA". It matches the Rfam family "Bacterial small subunit ribosomal RNA", at positions 359 to 776 of the family's 1533-position model. The record is from RNAcentral.